CGCUUGGAAGCAAACGGAAGAAGCUGCCAGAAGCGUGCAGAAUUCAACUUGUGCUUGCGGCGUCUUGUGCUUGACUGAUCCUUGACGGGAUGGUGCAAGUUCGCUGUUGCAGGAGUGCACUUUCUGUACGUGUGCGCCACGACCGUUUAGCACGCCGGCUAAAGGAUGGUUGAUUGCCGACUGCGUUCGCGCAGAACCCCGUCAGCCAUUCCAGUCCUGGUUGUGUUGAACGAGAAACCACCGCACCCGCCUGUCUCGAGGCGUUCUGUUUGGGAUGUGGUCGGAAUUUUGUAGCUUGCUUGCAAGUUGCGGAGACCCCCACGCUCCAGAGCAGUGCGUUCUUGAGUGGUGCCAAUGGUCAGUGGCGUCCGUGUCAGCGUCUCUUCUGACCCGUCUUGAAACACGGACCAAGGAGUCUAGCAUGUGCGCAAGUCAUUGGGUGGUAAACUCAACGGCGCAAUGAAAGUAAAGGUCAACUCUGUUGACUGAGGUAGGAUCACUGGCCUCGGCUGGUGCGCACUACCGUCCCGUUCCAUCUACUUUGUUAGAGGGGCGGAGACAGAGCGUACACGCUAGGACCCGAAAGAUGGUGAACUAUGCCUGAGCAGGACGAAGUCAGAGGAAACUCUGAUGGAAGUCCGUAGCGGUUCUGACGUGCAAAUCG
Molecule: ribosomal RNA, 664 nt
Filed under: Rhabdocoma sp. TCR125
Lineage: Eukaryota; Metazoa; Nematoda; Enoplea; Enoplida; Trefusiidae
Description: eukaryotic LSU rRNA
Rfam family: Eukaryotic large subunit ribosomal RNA
Source: RNAcentral